CCUCAGUAAGGGCGACUGAAACGGGAACAGCCCAGCGCAUAACCUCGCGGUCUUCCCGGCCGUCGAGGGGUGUUGCGUUUCGGUGGAUCCGUCCCGCUCGAGCCGCUUACCGCCUAAGUCAUUGCUUGAAAGCAGCCCCAAGGAGGGUGAUAGGCCCGUGUGGCGGCGCCUGUAAAAAGGGUCAAGGCGGCCCGGGCGGAGGGAUCUUCACCGUAGAGUCGGGUUG
This 226-nucleotide ribosomal RNA is filed under the name Pandalus eous. RNAcentral's name for it is "partial 28S ribosomal RNA". It matches the Rfam family "Eukaryotic large subunit ribosomal RNA", at positions 78 to 272 of the family's 3401-position model. Lineage: Eukaryota; Metazoa; Arthropoda; Malacostraca; Decapoda; Pandalidae. The record is from RNAcentral.